RNAcentral lists this ribosomal RNA (468 nucleotides) under uncultured bacterium. Its description in RNAcentral is "partial 16S ribosomal RNA". It matches the Rfam family "Bacterial small subunit ribosomal RNA", at positions 28 to 507 of the family's 1533-position model. The record is from RNAcentral.
GAUGAACGCUGGCGGCGUGCUUAACACAUGCAAGUCGAACGGAAAGGCCCAAGCUUGCUUGGGUACUCGAGUGGCGAACGGGUGAGUAACACGUGGGUGAUCUGCCCUGCACUUCGGGAUAAGCCUGGGAAACUGGGUCUAAUACCGGAUAGGACGAUGGUUUGGAUGCCAUUGUGGAAAGUUUUUUCGGUGUGGGAUGAGCUCGCGGCCUAUCAGCUUGUUGGUGGGGUAAUGGCCUACCAAGGCGUCGACGGGUAGCCGGCCUGAGAGGGUGUACGGCCACAUUGGGACUGGGAUACGGCCCAGACUCCUACGGGAGGCAGCAGUGGGGAAUAUUGCACAAUGGGCGCAGGCCUGAUGCAGCGACGCCGCGUGGGGGAUGACGGCCUUCGGGUUGUAAACUCCUUUCGCUAGGGACGAAGCGUUUUUGUGACGGUACCUGGAGAAGAAGCACCGGCUAACUACGUG